Molecule: ribosomal RNA, 138 nt
Organism: Ochotona princeps (American pika)
Lineage: Eukaryota; Metazoa; Chordata; Mammalia; Lagomorpha; Ochotonidae
Source: Ensembl
GUCUACGGCCAUACCAUGCUUAAUACGCCUAAUCUCAUCUGAUCUCAGAAGCUAAGCAGGGUCGGGCCUGGUUAGUACUUGGAUGGGAGACCACCAUUUUCUUAACACUACACUUUAUCAGGAUUGUCAGGGUUGUCU